UACGGGGGGAGCAAGCGUUGUUCGGAUUUACUGGGCGUAAAGGGCGCGUAGGCGGCGCAACAAGUCACUUGUGAAAUCUCCGGGCUUAACCCGGAGCGGCCAAGUGAUACUGUCGUGCUAGAGUGCGGAAGGGGCUACUGGAAUUCUCGGUGUAGCGGUGAAAUGCGUAGAUAUCGAGAGGAACACCUGCGGCGAAGGCGGGUAGCUGGGCCGACACUGACGCUGAGGCGCGAAAGCCAGGGGAGCGAUCGGG
This 253-nucleotide ribosomal RNA is filed under the name uncultured bacterium. RNAcentral describes it as "partial 16S ribosomal RNA". It matches the Rfam family "Bacterial small subunit ribosomal RNA", at positions 524 to 776 of the family's 1533-position model. The record is from RNAcentral.